This 433-nucleotide ribosomal RNA is filed under the name uncultured bacterium. Its description in RNAcentral is "partial 16S ribosomal RNA". It matches the Rfam family "Bacterial small subunit ribosomal RNA", at positions 29 to 507 of the family's 1533-position model. The record is from RNAcentral.
AACGAACGCUGGCGGCAUGCCUAACACAUGCGAGUCGAACGAGACCUUCGGGUCUAGUGGCGCACGGGUGCGUAACGCGUGGGAACCUGCCCUUAGGUUCGGAAUAACUCCCCGAAAGGGGUGCUAAUACCGGAUAAUGUCUUCGGACCAAAGAUUUAUCGCCUUUGGAUGGGCCCGCGUUGGAUUAGCUAGUUGGUAGGGUAAAAGCCUACCAAGGCGACGAUCCAUAGCUGGUCUGAGAGGAUGAUCAGCCGCACUGGAACUGAGACACGGCCCAGACUCCGAAGGGAGGCAGCAGUGGGGAAUAUUGGACAGUGGGCGAAAGCCUGAUCCAGCAAUGCCGCGUGGGUGAUGAAGGCCUUAGGGUUGUAAAGCUCUUUUACCCGGGAUGAUAAUGACAGUACCGGGAGAAUAAGCGCCGGCUAACUCCGUG